CAUAGGUUAAUGAGGCGAACCGGGGGAACUGAAACAUCUAAGUACCCCGAGGAAAAGAAAUCAACCGAGAUUCCCCCAGUAGCGGCGAGCGAACGGGGAGCAGCCCAGAGCCUGAAUCAGUGUGUGUGUUAGUGGAAGCGUCUGGAAAGGCGCGCGAUACAGGGUGACAGCCCCGUACACAAAAAUGCACAUGCUGUGAGCUCGAUGAGUAGGGCGGGACACGUGGUAUCCUGUCUGAAUAUGGGGGGACCAUCCUCCAAGGCUAAAUACUCCUGACUGACCGAUAGUGAACCAGUACCGUGAGGGAAAGGCGAAAAGAACCCCGGCGAGGGGAGUGAAAAAGAACCUGAAACCGUGUACGUACAAGCAGUGGGAGCACGCUUAGGCGUGUGACUGCGUACCUUUUGUAUAAUGGGUCAGCGACUUAUAUUCUGUAGCAAGGUUAACCGAAUAGGGGAGCCGAAGGGAAACCGAGUCUUAACUGGGCGUUAAGUUGCAGGGUAUAGACCCGAAACCCGGUGAUCUAGCCAUGGGCAGGUUGAAGGUUGGGUAACACUAACUGGAGGACCGAACCGACUAAUGUUGAAAAAUUAGCGGAUGACUUGUGGCUGGGGGUGAAAGGCCAAUCAAACCGGGAGAUAGCUGGUUCUCCCCGAAAGCUAUUUAGGUAGCGCCUCGUGAAUUCAUCUCCGGGGGUAGAGCACUGUUUCGGCAAGGGGGUCAUCCCGACUUACCAACCCGAUGCAAACUGCGAAUACCGGAGAAUGUUAUCACGGGAGACACACGGCGGGUGCUAACGUCCGUCGUGAAGAGGGAAACAACCCAGACCGCCAGCUAAGGUCCCAAAGUCAUGGUUAAGUGGGAAACGAUGUGGGAAGGCCCAGACAGCCAGGAUGUUGGCUUAGAAGCAGCCAUCAUUUAAAGAAAGCGUAAUAGCUCACUGGUCGAGUCGGCCUGCGCGGAAGAUGUAACGGGGCUAAACCAUGCACCGAAGCUGCGGCAGCGACGCUUAUGCGUUGUUGGGUAGGGGAGCGUUCUGUAAGCCUGUGAAGGUGUGCUGUGAGGCAUGCUGGAGGUAUCAGAAGUGCGAAUGCUGACAUAAGUAACGAUAAAGCGGGUGAAAAGCCCGCUCGCCGGAAGACCAAGGGUUCCUGUCCAACGUUAAUCGGGGCAGGGUGAGUCGACCCCUAAGGCGAGGCCGAAAGGCGUAGUCGAUGGGAAACAGGUUAAUAUUCCUGUACUUGGUGUUA
Molecule: ribosomal RNA, 1250 nt
Filed under: Escherichia coli
Lineage: Bacteria; Pseudomonadati; Pseudomonadota; Gammaproteobacteria; Enterobacterales; Enterobacteriaceae
Description: partial 23S ribosomal RNA
Rfam family: Bacterial large subunit ribosomal RNA
Source: RNAcentral